GACGGAAGGUGCAAGCGUUGCUCGGAAUCACUGGGCGUAAAGGGUGCGUAGGCGGCCGUGCAAGUCUGGCGUGAAAGCCCCGGGCUCAGCCCGGGAAGUGCGCUCGAAACUGCGCGGCUCGAGUGCCGGAGGGGAGAGUGGAAUUCCUGGUGUAGCGGUGAAAUGCGUAGAUAUCAGGAGGAAUACCGGUGGCGAAAGCGGCUCUCUGGACGGCAACUGACGCUGAGGCACGAAAGCGUGGGGAGCGAACAGG
Molecule: ribosomal RNA, 253 nt
Filed under: uncultured bacterium
Lineage: Bacteria
Description: partial 16S ribosomal RNA
Rfam family: Bacterial small subunit ribosomal RNA
Source: RNAcentral